Molecule: small nucleolar RNA, 107 nt
Organism: Coffea arabica (coffee)
Lineage: Eukaryota; Viridiplantae; Streptophyta; Magnoliopsida; Gentianales; Rubiaceae
Source: RefSeq, a predicted model, not a curated record
AGCCCAUGGUGUGGACAUCUCCUUUGGAGGUCCAUGAACCUUUCCCAAGUUUCGUAUAACAACUCACCUUCGUGUUGAUUAAAACAUGUGAUUUCUAUACAAAGUUU